Molecule: long non-coding RNA, 2980 nt
Organism: Gasterosteus aculeatus aculeatus (three-spined stickleback)
Lineage: Eukaryota; Metazoa; Chordata; Actinopteri; Perciformes; Gasterosteidae
Source: Ensembl
CAAAAGGCGCGCUUCAAACCCCAAAACAAACGCUGGCUGUCACACACCCAGGCUCGCAGUGAGGGCCUCGCCGCUGGCGUCCAACCGUGUUUCGCGGUGGAAACCAAACACUGGCCUGUUUGGACUGGAUGUGAUCCUUGUUUCCGGGCGGAACGCUGCCAGAGGCGGAUUGAUGGCUCUCACCCAGAGGAGGACGUUUACAGGAAUAUCCUCCCGGCUGGAAUUCGCUUUUCGUUUUUUUUUUUUUAAAUUGGACUCCGAACACACGGUCGCAGUCAUGGCUGCGCGGCGGCAAAGUGUUCCCCGAGUGAUAAUGAAGGGAGUGCUGCUGUGCACAUCGCCGCGCACACAAACACGCGGUUGUAGUGUACUUGAGGGGCCGUCGCUGACAUGAUGCAUGGUGGGUACGGCCUUAACCUUAACCCGGAAUCCAACCUUGACCUGAACCCAGUCAUAAAUAACACUUCUGGUUCAUCACAACUUGGGCCUCGUUUGAUAGUUUUGGCCCACGAUGACGUGACGUACACCAAGUAACGGCUUGAGAUUGAGCAGACAGGCUGUAAAAUACAGUUAAUUGAACUGGAUGUUAAUUGUUCCAUCCAACUGCUUUCUGUCAAAUUCUCUGAAUUCCCAGAUAUCGGUAAAAAAAAAAAGAAAUGAGGCCAUUUCUGAGAAUAAAUGCUGGCUUAAAGGUACGUGCACACUCACAAGGAUGUACAGUGCGCAUAGACAUGCACACAUAUACGAUUUACAGUAGACUUUUUGUUGCGGCCUGCUAGUAAUCACACACACACACACACACACACACUAGUUGAAUCCAUAUGAAUGAAAAGGCUUCCUUGCCACAUUCCUUCCUCAGCAGCAGACGGACUUACCAGUUGCUUCCGCGGCGGAUCGAUGGAAGCAAAAUAGGACAAAAAUAGAGUUUAAAGUAUCUCAGGAAAGGAUCGAGUAGGGCGAGUGAAAGCGAGAAGGUCGGGUAGGAUGUGGAGAGGAGAAAAGGACAGAAUAAGGUUAAACGUGUGUGUACACAGAUACUCACACAGGCAGAAUUAAGUGUGGAAAUAUAUCCAUAUAUAUCCACACUUUUGAUUUAUUAACACUUAUUCAAUGUAUUUUUUGUUGAUUAGUAGUAUAAUCUCUGGCUUUGCGACAUAGAUGAAUCUCUACUACAGAGAGAAAGGGAGGAGAAGAGUAUAGAAGAAGGAGUGAAGAAGACACACCGAGACAGCCGGCGUGGAGAGGGAGGAAGAGAGAGAGACAGGGAGUGGUGACAGUGAUAGAGAGCCAAAAGACUCCUGGGACAGCAGCAGAGGCGAGUCCAUCGAUCCGGGACAGUGAGCCGGCUCACAUUUCACCUCCUCAGCAGUAACACCGGCGCUUUGCCAUGGAACUAAGCCCUACAUCCCGUCUGGACAGGGUCACCUUAAAUCUAUACGUCUGUGUGUGUGUGUGUGUGUGUGUGUGUGUGUGUGUGUGUGUGUGUGUGUGUGUGUGUGUGUGUGUGUGUGUGUGUGAGAGAGAGACUGAUGCAGGAAAACAGAUCUGAAAAAAGACAUCUGUUAUAAUUAGUCUAAGAAAAAAUGCAGUGAUAUUUUUCUUACCAAAAGAGAUGCUUCAAUCAAUUAGUUUGAAAUCUUUUAAAGGGAAUAAACCCAAAAAACAGCAAAUAUCAAAACACUACAAUAAAUGAGGGCGUCCAAGCCAAGGAGACCUGGUUUGUGCUCCGCCACACGGCAUCUAAAGACUGGAUUGCUCAAUAAGUCACAUGCCGCCCUCAUCAGGGGGAACCGAUAGCCUGAAUGAAUCGCAUCCAUCCGUUAGUGGUGGGACGUUAGAGGGGCCUGGGCCCGGCCCCUCAGAGCCAUCCACUGUCAUCCGAGAGGGGGGCCGAGCCAUGUGACAGACGACCGAGCAUGUGGCAUCUCUCUGACCUCUGACAUUCCCCCCCCCCCCUCUCCUUCCCCCUGCCGCGGCUAACGGACGGCAAACAGAACCUUCGGCGAAACACAGGGUUCGCUGCGGCUCUUUUGUGCUCAAUCACACCAGUAAAGGUCGAGGAGGGGGGGUCAGAUCUCAAACAGGCGACCUUUAACCUCAUCGGGCCGGAGGUUGCGGCGUUCGGGCCGUGUGUGUGGAAGCAUUGAUAAAAUUGAGACUCCUUUCAAGGAGGAGAUGUGUGUGUGGAAGCGGACCACAGGAUGAAGACGAGACAUAUGUUUUACCUAUUUCUUUGUGCUAUCCUGCUAGCAAACACUCCUCUGACAGUUCUUACGCAUUAAACACAAACGUAAUAACGUGGACGUCCCACCGGAGCUCUUUUUGCUUUCAGCCCUAGUCUGGUCCAGUGACUCCAGGGUCUGUUUUCCAGGCUUGAUAUUUUACUUUAUUCAACAACCACAUGGUUAUUUUGGCUCUCUGCCAUCAACAACGGUGCAGUUAGUUUCGGGUUUUUUUUUUUCUGCAUUGAGCCGCUAAGAGGCUCUCACUGCGACCUUUGCUACGAAAAACUAUUUUCUCAGGUUUCUGCCGGGUUGAGACUUUUCAAGACAUUUUUAUUUCCAUGGAAUGCAAUUUUUGUCAUGGUCAUAACGUCCAAAGCAUGGGAGAUGUCAAAGAAAACCAGUCAGAAUGAUGAAGCUGAAUGGAUGUGAGGAAUUACUGACGUUUAUAACAUACAGUUCAGUUCUUCUAGUUAAUCAUUUAAUCAUUGAAUCAUGCAACACGACCUGUACCUGCAAACAGAACAAAAUGCAUUCAAAUGGCUGGAUAGAUUAACCAAUUUUUUCCGUCAUUUUUCGAUAAGAAAAUCACACUUGAAUUUAUAUGUGAAUACACAUUAACAUUAAUGUCAGCAGCAGCAGCUUGCGGACACCAAAGUCAGCACUUUUCAAGACAUGCAGAAAUCUUAUUUUUUACAUGUUUAAGAGAGAUUUGAUUAGAAAUGAUAUUUCGAAUACGGUUUUAAUUGAGAUCUAAC